This 274-nucleotide ribosomal RNA is filed under the name uncultured bacterium. RNAcentral's name for it is "partial 16S ribosomal RNA". It matches the Rfam family "Bacterial small subunit ribosomal RNA", at positions 523 to 796 of the family's 1533-position model. The record is from RNAcentral.
AUACGGAGGGUGCAAGCGUUGUCCGGAUUUAUUGGGUUUAAAGGGUGCGCAGGCGGUGCGUUAAGUCAGUGGUGAAAUCUUCCGGCUCAACCGGGAAACUGCCAUUGAUACUGGCGCACUUGAGUACGGACGAGGUAGGCGGAAUUUAUGGUGUAGCGGUGAAAUGCAUAGAUACCAUAAAGAACACCGAUAGCGAAGGCAGCUUACCAGACCGUAACUGACGCUCAGGCACGAAAGCGUGGGGAGCAAACAGGAUUAGAUACCCCAGUAGUCC